AAAUGUGAAUGCCAUGGGAAUUAAAAGGCCUAGAGAUAGUCUAAAUGAUAGGUAUCUAUAGCACCUAAGGCUAGGUCAUAUAGCGGAAGACAGGGUUAACAAAUUGGAGAAAUUUGGACUAUUGAGUCUAUUGACUUCCGAGUCAUAUCCAAUUUGUGAAUCAUGCCUUCAAGGCAAAAUGACCAAGCUUCCUUUUGUGGGACAUGGGGAAAGGGCCACAGACCUACUU
RNAcentral lists this long non-coding RNA (229 nucleotides) under Elaeis guineensis (African oil palm). RNAcentral describes it as "long non-coding RNA (EGUI_LNC057057)". The record is from RNAcentral. Lineage: Eukaryota; Viridiplantae; Streptophyta; Magnoliopsida; Arecales; Arecaceae.